Molecule: ribosomal RNA, 519 nt
Filed under: uncultured bacterium
Lineage: Bacteria
Description: bacterial SSU rRNA
Rfam family: Bacterial small subunit ribosomal RNA
Source: RNAcentral
AGAGUUUGAUCCUGGCUCAGAUUGAACGCUGGCGGCAUGCCUUACACAUGCAAGUCGAACGGCAGCACGGGAGCAAUCCUGGUGGCGAGUGGCGAACGGGUGAGUAAUACAUCGGAACGUGCCCAAUAGUGGGGGAUAGCCCGGCGAAAGCCGGAUUAAUACCGCAUACGACCUGAGGGUGAAAGCAGGGGAUCGCAAGACCUUGCGCUAUUGGAGCGGCCGAUGUCAGAUUAGCUAGUUGGUGGGGUAAAGGCCUACCAAGGCUACGAUCUGUAGUUGGUCUGAGAGGACGACCAGCCACACUGGGACUGAGACACGGCCCAGACUCCUACGGGAGGCAGCAGUGGGGAAUUUUGGACAAUGGGCGCAAGCCUGAUCCAGCAAUGCCGCGUGCAGGAAGAAGGCCUUCGGGUUGUAAACUGCUUUUGUCAGGGAAGAAAUCUUCUGGGCUAAUACCUCGGGAGGAUGACGGUACCUGAAGAAUAAGCACCGGCUAACUACGUGCCAGCACCGCGGUAA